CUCAAAAAUUUGGAGUCGGCUAUAGCAUAUAGCAUAUAGGUAAGUGUAAAUAAAAAAAAAAUAUGCCAUAAUUAAAAAAAAAAAGUAAAUCUGUUUUUUAAUUUGUUAAUUAGGUUUUGAAAUUUAAGGAAAGAAAUCAUGAAAUCAACAAUUGAAAUUAAUUUUAAUACAUGAAAUAGUAAGUUUAAAACCUAAUUUUAAAUUAAAUGCUUAGCUGCUUAGCUUGGUAGUAAUAAGGUCAAUUUCUUACUAUCUAUUUAGUUACUUUGCUAGUAAAUUGAUUACUUCUAUUGAUAUCUAAGAAUGAUGGAUUUA
This 315-nucleotide unclassified non-coding RNA is filed under the name Hevea brasiliensis (rubber tree). The record is from RNAcentral. Lineage: Eukaryota; Viridiplantae; Streptophyta; Magnoliopsida; Malpighiales; Euphorbiaceae.